GAUGAACGCUGGCGGCGUGCCUAAUACAUGCAAGUCGAGCGAACAGACGAGGAGCUUGCUCCUCUGACGUUAGCGGCGGACGGGUGAGUAACACGUGGAUAACCUACCUAUAAGACUGGGAUAACUUCGGGAAACCGGAGCUAAUACCGGAUAAUAUAUUGAACCGCAUGGUUCAAUAGUGAAAGACGGUUUUGCUGUCACUUAUAGAUGGAUCCGCGCCGCAUUAGCUAGUUGGUAAGGUAACGGCUUACCAAGGCAACGAUGCGUAGCCGACCUGAGAGGGUGAUCGGCCACACUGGAACUGAGACACGGUCCAGACUCCUACGGGAGGCAGCAGUAGGGAAUCUUCCGCAAAGGGCGAAAGCUUGACGGAGCAACGCCGCGUAAGUGAUGAAGGUCUUCGGAUCGUAAAACUCUGUUAUUAGGGAAGAACAAAUGUGUAAGUAACUAUGCACGUCUUGACGGUACCUAAUCAGAAAGCCACGGCUAACUACGUG
Molecule: ribosomal RNA, 497 nt
Filed under: uncultured bacterium
Lineage: Bacteria
Description: partial 16S ribosomal RNA
Rfam family: Bacterial small subunit ribosomal RNA
Source: RNAcentral